RNAcentral lists this ribosomal RNA (507 nucleotides) under uncultured delta proteobacterium. RNAcentral's name for it is "bacterial SSU rRNA". It matches the Rfam family "Bacterial small subunit ribosomal RNA", at positions 29 to 507 of the family's 1533-position model. The record is from RNAcentral. Lineage: Bacteria; Deltaproteobacteria.
AAUGAACGCUGGCGGCGUGCUUAACACAUGCAAGUCGCACGAGAACACUUCAGCUUGCUGAAGUAAGUAAAGUGGCGCACGGGUGAGUAACGCGUGGGUAAUCUACCCUCAAAUUGGGGAUAACCCGCCGAAAGGCGGGCUAAUACCGAAUGACAUCUUGAAAACUUAUGUUUUCAGGAUCAAAGGUGGCCUCUACGUGUAAGCUAUUGUUUGGGGAUGAGCCCGCGUACCAUUAGCUUGUUGGUAGGGUAAUGGCCUACCAAGGCUACGAUGGUUAGCUGGUCUGAGAGGAUGAUCAGCCACACUGGAACUGACACACGGUCCAGACUCCUACGGGAGGCAGCAGUGAGGAAUUUUGCGCAAUGGGGGAAACCCUGACGCAGCAACGCCGCGUGAGUGAUGAAGGCUUUCGGGUCGUAAAGCUCUGUCAAGUGGGAAGAAUUCAUAUGGUGUUAAUAUCGCCAUAUGCUGACGGUACCACUGAAGGAAGCACCGGCUAACUCCGUG